RNA transcript from Capsicum annuum, 719 nucleotides. It is a transcript of the gene named defensin J1-2-like, with no coding region annotated. The transcript is spliced from 2 exons. The record is from RefSeq and is a predicted model, not a curated record. NCBI's taxonomy places the organism in Eukaryota, Viridiplantae, Streptophyta, Magnoliopsida, Solanales, Solanaceae.
UUCAAUUUUUAGAAUGACAGUUAUAUCGGGACAAGCAUUUUUUAAACUCAAGCGAUAGUUAAAAUGGAACGGAGUGAAAGAUUAAUAUAAUUGCAAGUUGAAAAGACGGUCAUAUUUCAUAUCCUUCUAUAAAUAUGGAUACAUUAGCCAAUCCUCCUCAUUCAUUUCUGUCGAUCACUUUCUCUGCUCAAAUUAAAGAAUCAGUCAAACUACUCUUCCACUCCGAUCCCCCACCAAAGAAAAAUAAUGGCAGCAUCCAUGAAAUUGUUCUCCACUUUAUGCCUUCUUCUAAUGCUCAUCUUUGCUACUGAGACAAUGGUAGGAGAGGCAAGGGAAUGUGAGAAGCAUAGCCCAUACUAUUAUGGAGCAUGCUUUCAGGGCAAUGCUAACAUGAACAACAACUGUAAUACUAUGUGCAAAUGUGAUGGUUUUGAGCGCGGUUUUUGCCGUCGCACUAAUUGCUUUUGCGCUAAAAGGUGUUAGAUUUUAAUCAGCUUGUACUAUAAAUAAUGUCAAGAAUUUGAGCCAACAUGGUACAUAUGUUUGGCUUUUAAUUUGCUGUAUUUGUUCUUUUCUUUUGUUUUUAUUUCCUCUAUAUGUGUGAGAAUAACUACUUCCUUGCUGAAGGAACAGGCUUGUAAUUGGUUCCUUGAUUGGUGUUGUUUUGCUUCUUGCAACCUAUGUAAUCAGCUUCUAAUAAAUGAGUGAUAUUUACUUCA